CCUACGGGUGGCAGCAGUGGGGAAUAUUGGGCAAUGGGCGCAAGCCUGACCCAGCAACGCCGCGUGAAGGAAGAAGGCUUUCGGGUUGUACACUUCUUGUGUCAGGGACGAGUAGAAGACGGUACCUGACGAAUAAGCCACGGCUAACUACGUGACAGCAGCCGCGGUAAUACGUAGGUGGCAAGCGUGGUCCGGAUUUACUGGGUGUAAAGGGUGUGUAGCCGGGUUGACAAGUCAGAUGUGAAAUCCUGCGGCUUAACCGCAGAACUGCAUUUGAAACUGUUGAUCUUGAGUACUGGAGAGGCAGACGGAAUUCCUAGUGUAGCGGUGAAAUGCGUAGAUAUUAGGAGGAACACCAGUGGCGAAGGCGGUCUGCUGGACAGCAACUGACGGUGAGGCGCGAAAGCGUGGGGAGCAAACAGGAUUAGAUACCCGAGUAGUC
Molecule: ribosomal RNA, 442 nt
Filed under: uncultured bacterium
Lineage: Bacteria
Description: partial 16S ribosomal RNA
Rfam family: Bacterial small subunit ribosomal RNA
Source: RNAcentral